This 46-nucleotide transfer RNA is filed under the name Gnetum hainanense. Its description in RNAcentral is "partial tRNA-Val". The record is from RNAcentral. RNAcentral also lists the same sequence under 6 other names. Lineage: Eukaryota; Viridiplantae; Streptophyta; Gnetopsida; Gnetales; Gnetaceae.
UCUGUUUUACCGAGAAGGUCUACGGUUCAAGCCCGUAUAGCCCUAA